CAGGGAGACAACAAAAUGUUAAAUAUUAAUUUUGUCACCUUAGGUCGAUCGGUAUCUCACAUUCUUGAUUAUUUAAGGAUUUUAUUUCCUAAGUUUUUUCUAGGUCACACCCAUUACUUUUCCUGGGCCAUUAGCUCAGGUGGUUAGAGCGCACCCCUGAUAAGGGUGAGGUCCCUGGUUCAAGUCCAGGAUGGCCCAUAUCUCUAUGUUGGGGGUAUAGCUCAGUUGGUAGAGCGCCUGCUUUGCAAGCAGGAUGUCAGCGGUUCGAGUCCGCUUACCUCCACUGAUCACCACCUCUUCAUAAUUUAUAGAAGGGAAUUGUUUUGAGUUAUGAUCAAAUUCUGAAAGAAUCUAGCUUCCUAAUGAAAUCAUUAAGAUGCUGGACUCAUUGAAUUAAUUUCAUUGUCUUCAGAGAACCUUGACAACUGCAUAGAUUAUUUUUAAAGACAAUAAGCAUCUUUAUGAUGCAGAUUUAUUAUUUGUGCGAAUGCAUUAAUAACAAUUCUAUUAAGCUGAUGCUUCAAUUAUGAAGUUAUU
This 537-nucleotide transfer RNA is filed under the name uncultured cyanobacterium. RNAcentral describes it as "partial 16S-23S ribosomal RNA intergenic spacer". The stretch from base 211 to 283 matches the Rfam family "tRNA". The record is from RNAcentral. Lineage: Bacteria; Bacillati; Cyanobacteriota.